GACGAACGCUGGCGGCGUGCUUAACACAUGCAAGUCGAACGGAAAGGCCCUGCUUGCAGGGUACUCGAGUGGCGAACGGGUGAGUAACACGUGGGUGAUCUGCCCUGCACUUCGGGAUAAGCUUGGAAACUGGGUCUAAUACCGGAUAGGACCGCACUUUAGUGUGUGUGGUGGAAAGUUUUUUCGGUGUAGGAUGAGCUCGCGGCCUAUCAGCUUGUUGGUGGGGUAAUGGCCUACCAAGGCGGCGACGGGUAGCCGGCCUGAGAGGGUGUACGGCCACAUUGGGACUGAGAUACGGCCCAGACUCCUACGGGAGGCAGCAAUGGGGAAUAUUGCACAAUGGGCGCAAGCCUGAUGCAGCGACGCCGCGUGGGGGAUGAAGGCCUUCGGGUUGUAAACUCCUUUCGCUAGGGACGAAGCUUUGUUGUGACGGUACCUAGAUAAGAAGCACCGGCUAACUACGUG
Molecule: ribosomal RNA, 465 nt
Filed under: uncultured bacterium
Lineage: Bacteria
Description: partial 16S ribosomal RNA
Rfam family: Bacterial small subunit ribosomal RNA
Source: RNAcentral